This 320-nucleotide unclassified non-coding RNA is filed under the name plant metagenome. RNAcentral's name for it is "partial contains 5.8S ribosomal RNA, internal transcribed spacer 2, and large subunit ribosomal RNA". The stretch from base 1 to 105 matches the Rfam family "5.8S ribosomal RNA", at positions 50 to 154 of the family's 154-position model. The record is from RNAcentral.
GAAAUGCGAUAAGUAGUGUGAAUUGCAGAAUUCAGUGAAUCAUCGAAUCUUUGAACGCACAUUGCGCCCUUUGGUAUUCCUUAGGGCAUGCCUGUUCGAGCGUCAUCUAAACCUUCAAGCCCUGCUUGGUGUUGGGUGCCUGUCCCGCCUCCGCGCGCGGACUCACCUCAAAUCCAUUGGCGGCCCCCCCCUCGGCGGGACGGUCGGAAGCCUGCAGCGUUGCGACACCCGUUCGCUCCGGAGGACCGCCGCCCGCGCCGUUAAAACUCUUCAUCACAGGUUGACCUCGGAUCGGGUAGGGAUACCCGCUGAACUUAAGC